Long non-coding RNA from Corticium candelabrum, 151 nucleotides. RefSeq lists it as uncharacterized. The record is from RefSeq and is a predicted model, not a curated record. The transcript is spliced from 3 exons. NCBI's taxonomy places the organism in Eukaryota, Metazoa, Porifera, Homoscleromorpha, Homosclerophorida, Plakinidae.
GAUCCACACAAGAGAGAAACCAAAGAAAUAAUUGCACAAUUGUUACAUGAGGCAAGAUCUAGUCGGCUAAUUGCACCCGAAGAGUCCCCACAAGACAAGGGAAAGCCAGAGCGGAAAGAACUUUUUCCGAUUGAGCUGGCAAAGAGAAACU